CCUACGGGAGGCAGCAGUGGGGAAUCUUGGACAAUGGGGGCAAGCCUGACCCAGCGACGCCGCGUGAGUGAAGAAGUCUUUCGGGUUGUAAACUUCUUUUAUCAGGGACGAAGCAAGUGACGGUACCUGACGAAUAAGCCACGGCUAACUACGUGCCAGCAGCCGCGGUAAUACGUAGGUGGCAAGCGUUAUCCGGAUUUACUGGGUGUAAAGGGCGUGUAGGCGGGGAUGCAAGUCAGAUGUGAAAGCCACGGGCGCAACCCGUGGACUGCUUUUGAAACUGUAUGGCUGGAGUACUGGAGAGGUAGAUGGAAUUCCUAGUGUAGCGGUGAAAUGCGUAGAUAUUAGGAGGAACACCAGUGGCGAAGGCGGUUUGCUGGACAGUAACUGACGUUGAGGCGCGAAAGCGUGGGGAGCAAACAGGAUUAGAUACCCCGGUAGUC
Molecule: ribosomal RNA, 443 nt
Filed under: uncultured bacterium
Lineage: Bacteria
Description: partial 16S ribosomal RNA
Rfam family: Bacterial small subunit ribosomal RNA
Source: RNAcentral